This 806-nucleotide long non-coding RNA is filed under the name Sus scrofa (pig). Its description in RNAcentral is "lncRNA (ENSSSCG00040063665.1)". The record is from RNAcentral. Lineage: Eukaryota; Metazoa; Chordata; Mammalia; Artiodactyla; Suidae.
GAGCCCUUGGUUCUCUGAGAUGACAGUCUUAUAGGAGAGUAGUUAUUAAAGGAACAAAUAAAAUAUAGAGAGUAUAAAGUCAUAUAUUUAGGUCUGUGGGAGAUUAUAUAAAGCAGACUUCAAGGAUAGGAGCCAUGAGUUGGUGUGGGGCAUUAGACAGGUUGAGCAUGGAAGGUGGUUCAGAGGAGAUGAUGUUGGAACAAAGAUCAUGCAGUGAAGGAGGAAGCGAAGGAGCAAACCAAGUCAGCAUCCAAGAGGGGAAGGGUAGACUGUGUGAAAGCAUCCUUGCAUCCACUUUUAGGGACCGUGACACUGGUAGGUGUUGACAGCCGGCUGCUGUAGCUCUAGCAGAGAGAAAGAGAGUGAGCAGGAGGGAAGCAGGAGCUUCAGCUGGAGAAGUGACCAGGCCAGAUCAUCCAGGGCUGUGUAGCUAACAGCAAGGACUUGGGGUUUAUUCUAAGUGAGAUGGGACCUGAUGGAGGGGAGUUUCGACGGGAAUCCGAGGAAGCUGAAUGAACCAGGUGACCCACCAUUUGCAUAAUGAACUUCUUCGGUUACACCACAUUCUGCAUUUAUCAAUGUCUAUUGCUUUCUGGAGAAGACUUUCGUUUUAUGGAGGAUGCAUUGCUCAAACAAAAGAGGCAAAAGGUAAAACUGCUAAUACUCAACUCGUGCUUCCCGAGAAUGUUGAUAACAUGGAAUCAAUAUAAUACGUCCACGUCCUAUGGGUUUUUAUUUUAAGGAAAAGUAUGAGAUAAUUAUAAUGGUCAUGUUUAAAUUGAAGAAGAAGAUCCAAUCUUUGUGAC